UAGGUCUCUCUGUUAGACAGGUAGGUAUGAUAGGUCUCUGUUAGACAGGUAGGUAUGAUAGGUCUCUCUGUUAGACAGGUAGGUAUGAUAGGUCUCUCUGUUAGACAGGUAGGUAUGAUAGGUCUCUCUGUUAGACAGGUAGGUAUGAUAGGUC
Molecule: long non-coding RNA, 154 nt
Organism: Oncorhynchus gorbuscha (pink salmon)
Lineage: Eukaryota; Metazoa; Chordata; Actinopteri; Salmoniformes; Salmonidae
Exons: 3
Source: RefSeq, a predicted model, not a curated record